UACGGAGGGGGCAAGCGUUAUUCGGAAUUAUUGGGCGUAAAGGGCGUGUAGGCGGCCUCGUAUGUCCCAUGUGAAAGCCCUCGGCUCAACCGAGGAACUGCAUGGGAAACGGCAAGGCUUGAGUCCGGGAGAGGAGAGUGGAAUUCCCAGUGUAGCGGUGAAAUGCGUAGAUAUUGGGAGGAACACCAGUGGCGAAGGCGGCUCUCUGGACCGGUACUGACGCUGAAACGCGAAAGCCAGGGGAGCAAACGGG
Molecule: ribosomal RNA, 253 nt
Filed under: uncultured bacterium
Lineage: Bacteria
Description: partial 16S ribosomal RNA
Rfam family: Bacterial small subunit ribosomal RNA
Source: RNAcentral